This 278-nucleotide ribosomal RNA is filed under the name Kodamaea ohmeri. RNAcentral describes it as "partial 26S ribosomal RNA". It matches the Rfam family "Eukaryotic large subunit ribosomal RNA", at positions 86 to 370 of the family's 3401-position model. Lineage: Eukaryota; Fungi; Ascomycota; Pichiomycetes; Serinales; Debaryomycetaceae. The record is from RNAcentral.
UCAGCAAGUGAAGCGGCAAAAGCUCAAAUGAUGAAAUCCCCCCGGGGUAGUUGUAAUUUGAAGAUUGCGUCUUGGAGGCGACCGUGGUCUAUGUUCCUUGGAACAGGACGUCACAGGAGGGUGAGAAUCCCGUGCGGCACGGCCCCGGCUCCUUAUAAGGCGCUCUCGACGAGUCGAGUUUUUGGGGAAUGCAGCUCAAAGUGGGUGGUAAAUUCCAUCAAAGCUAAAUACAGGCGAGAGACCGAUAGCGAACAAGUACAGUGAUGGAAAGAUGAAAA